GUGAGGCCUCACGGAGCCUGCACGGGUGGGCGGGAAACAGUUUCCGGCCCAGGUGAAGGCAGGAUUGGAGCUGAUCUCACUUGAUUCCCAGCCGAAGAAUAACCUGUUUCCGGGCCGGGGAUUUAGCUCAGUGGUUCCGCCGCCUGCCUCACAGGCCCAAGGACCCAAGUUCGAUCCCCGGUAUCAAAAAAAAAAAAAAAAAGAGUAACGUGUUUCCUCCCCUCCCCUCCGGUAUGAGUGCUGCAAGUUCUGCCUCGGGCGAAGUGUCUGUAAUUCCCACCAAAGACCUGGGGAGUUUCUGAGAUUCGUUCAGUGGCACACUAGUAGCUGAUGAGGAAGACCGGCCGAGACCUGAAACCAUCUAACUCCUACAGGACUUAAUCAAUCAGAUCUACUACCUAAAGUGACAUUUACCAUUCUGUCAGAUGCCUCUGGCAGCUAAAUGUUCCCUUACUGAAGUCUGGACCUUAUAAGAUUACCAGUCAUCCAUGAAAAUAAUGUCA
Molecule: non-coding RNA, 503 nt
Organism: Heterocephalus glaber (naked mole-rat)
Lineage: Eukaryota; Metazoa; Chordata; Mammalia; Rodentia; Bathyergidae
Source: RefSeq, a predicted model, not a curated record